RNAcentral lists this ribosomal RNA (253 nucleotides) under uncultured bacterium. RNAcentral describes it as "partial 16S ribosomal RNA". It matches the Rfam family "Bacterial small subunit ribosomal RNA", at positions 524 to 776 of the family's 1533-position model. The record is from RNAcentral.
UACGUAGGGUGCAAGCGUUGUCCGGAUUUACUGGGCGUAAAGAGCGCGCAGGCGGUCGAUCAAGUCGAGUGUGAAAGCCCCCGGCUCAACUGGGGAGGGUCAUUCGAAACUGGUCGACUCGAAGGCAGGAGAGGGUAGUGGAAUUCCCGGUGUAGUGGUGAAAUGCGUAGAUAUCGGGAGGAACACCUAUGGCGAAGGCAGCUCGCUGGGACGUUACUGACGCUGAGACGCGAAAGCGUGGGGAGCAAACAGG